This 369-nucleotide ribosomal RNA is filed under the name Morganella morganii. Its description in RNAcentral is "partial 23S ribosomal RNA". It matches the Rfam family "Bacterial large subunit ribosomal RNA", at positions 455 to 719 of the family's 2925-position model. Lineage: Bacteria; Pseudomonadati; Pseudomonadota; Gammaproteobacteria; Enterobacterales; Morganellaceae. The record is from RNAcentral.
AUCCUCCAAGGCUAAAUACUCCUGAUUGACCGAUAGUGAACCAGUACCGUGAGGGAAAGGCGAAAAGAACCCCGGCGAGGGGAGUGAAAUAGAACCUGAAACCGUGUACGUACAAGCAGUGGGAGCCCCACCACUAAGCCAGUGGUGAGUCAUCACAGCGUCAUCCUUACUUGAUGGCAGUUGGCAGAGCGUCCUUUGUGACGCCCAACCCAAAAAAAUCAAGCAAAGGGGGCUUAGUGGUGGGGUGACUGCGUACCUUUUGUAUAAUGGGUCAGCGACUUAUAUUCUGUAGCAAGGUUAACCGUAUAGGGGAGCCGUAGGGAAACCGAGUCUUAACUGGGCGAAUGAGUUGCAGGGUAUAGACCCGAA